AGUCGUUGAUGCUCCAUCUCAAUGAUUUUUAAUAUAGUUUUGGAUAAUACGUGAAACUUUUUGAGUUUUAUUGAUUCAAAUAAUAUAUAUGUAUGAAGGAAGGGUAAUAUUUAUGUUGUCAAUUUUGAAACAACGAACAUUUAAAUGGUGUCAAGAACAGUGCAAAUAACCAAAAAUCUCAUCAAAAAUAUUAAUUAUUUUCAAAUUAAAUAAUGUGAAAAUUUGAAUCUAUUAAUUUUUCUAAAUAAAAAUUGAGGAUCAUCGUGUGUGGAUCAAAAAAUGAAUUGAAUUAUUUUAAGUUUUCUGCGAAUUUUCAUUUGAUGACCGUUGUGAGUUUUUCCAAUGGCGCAUGCACGGCUCAGCUGUGUGCAAUCGCGACCAAUUUACGUAGAAAAAUAAUGUAUUUUAUAGUAUUUUUAUUCAAUUAGACGAAGUACUGGACACGGUAUUCGUGAUAUUAGGAAACAUGGACUGCCCAUUUAAUAUUGCUACAGUGCAUAAUUUUUGCUCAUAUUACAUGUAGCUUUUUGUUUUACAUUGUUUUUGAUGCAUCAAAAAGAAAACUACAUUUUUGAAGGAAAUUAUUCUUAGCUUGUAAUAGAAGAAAUGGAUGUAAUACGAGAUGAAGACAGGCGCAGGCGCCUGAGGGUGCUGGAAGAACGUAUAAAAGAUCCAAGAAGCAUUACAAAUAUUGAUUGCUUAUUGGAUACAGUCCAAGCCCUGGUGGCAGAUUGUGAUCACCCCAGCGUUAAACGUAUGAAAAAUAUAGAAGCAUAUAUGAAUAGAUAUGACUCAGUAGCUCAAGAUAUUUGUAAAAUGCGAAUGCGUACAGAUGAUUUCACUUUAAUAAAAGUAAUAGGUCGUGGGGCAUUUGGGGAAGUACAGUUAGUGCGACAUAAAUCUACACAAAAAGUAUAUGCUAUGAAAUUACUCAGUAAAUUUGAAAUGAUCAAACGAUCAGAUUCAGCAUUUUUUUGGGAAGAACGUGAUAUAAUGGCACAUGCCAAUUCACAGUGGAUAGUUCAACUUCAUUUUGCAUUUCAAGAUCAAAAAUAUCUAUAUAUGGUAAUGGAUUACAUGCCAGGUGGUGAUUUAGUGAAUUUAAUGUCAAAUUAUGAUGUACCAGAAAAAUGGGCAAAAUUUUAUUGCGCAGAAGUGGUGCUUGCAUUAGAUGCAAUACAUCUUAUGGGAUUUGUUCAUAGAGAUGUAAAACCAGAUAAUAUGUUACUUGAUAAGCAUGGUCACUUAAAACUUGCAGAUUUUGGCACUUGUAUGAGAAUGGAUGUUGAUGGUCUUGUUCGAUCUGAUACUGCAGUAGGUACACCUGAUUAUAUAUCACCUGAAGUACUUCAAUCUCAAGGUGGUGAAGGUGUAUAUGGAAGAGAAUGCGAUUGGUGGUCAGUUGGUGUAUUUUUGUAUGAAAUGCUUGUUGGUGAUACUCCAUUUUAUGCAGAUUCAUUAGUUGGAACAUAUUCAAAAAUCAUGGAUCAUAGAAAUUCAUUACAUUUUCCGCAAGAAGUUGAUAUCUCUCACUCUGCCAAGAAUUUGAUAUGUGGUUUCCUUACGGAUAGAACUAAACGUUUGGGCAGAAAUGGUGUGGAAGAAAUAAAAAAUCAUUUAUUCUUUAAAAACGAUCAAUGGACAUUUGAAAAUUUACGAGAAUGUGUGCCUCCUGUCGUGCCAGAACUUUCUGGUGAUGAUGAUACUAGCAAUUUUGAAGAUGUUGAUAAAGAAGAUGGACCAGAAGAAAGUUUUCCAGUACCAAAAGCAUUUUCGGGAAAUCAUUUACCUUUUAUUGGUUUUACAUAUUCAGGAGAUUAUCAAUUAUUAGCUUUUAAUGGGAAAGAAUCAGUAGAUGGAUUAGAAAAUCAUAUCAAUAAUGGUACAAGCGACGAUAUAAAAAUUUCUCAAUUAGAAAAUUUAUUGGAUAAAGAAAAAAGGCAAGUAGAAUCUUUAGAAUCAAGGCAAAAAGCUUUGACAACACAAUUGGAAGUUAUGACACGUCGAGAAACUGAAUUACGUGAAGAAAUAGGUAGAGCUGACAAAGAAUUAACUUUGUUAAGACAUAAUUAUAAAGAAGCACAACGUAGGGUAGAACAUGAAAUUGAAUCACGUAGAAAAGCAGAAUCAUUAUUUGUAGAAUUGAAAAAGAAGUUUGAUGAAGAACAGACAAAAAGAGCACGCGAUGCAAGUAAUUCACAACAAACUUCUGAACGUGUAACUAGUUUAGAAAAACAAAUUAAAGAAAUGCAAUCGAAAUUAGAAAGAGAAACGGAAACAGUUACAAGAUUACGGAAACAAGCUACGGAAAUUACUGUCGCUCGUCAAGCUGCAGAACAAAUGGCAAAUGAAUUACAAGUGGCAAGAGCACAAUUACAAGCGCAACGAGACAAUUUACAACAGGAAGUGGUUACAUUACAAGGACAAUUGUCGAAAGAACGUAGUUCUCGAUCACAAGCAUCAUCGCUAACUGCUGAAUUAGAAAGUCGUCUCUCUGCUCUUCAUCUCGAACUUGAACACAGCCGAGAAAAAGAGGAAAAAGCAAUCAUGGAUAACAGACAAUUAACUGAAAAAAUUUCAGCAUUGGAAAAAGAAGCUGCAAGCUUAACCCUUGAAUUGAAAGCUGCUCAAGCUAGAUACAAUCAGGAAGUUGUAGCUCAUCAAGAAACAGAACGUUCACGUAUAUUAUCCAAAGAAGAAGCUAAUUUAGAAGUUGUCAAGGCAUUACAAGCAAAAUUAAAUGAAGAGAAAAGUGGAAGACAACGUGCUGAAUUGCUUGCACAAGAAAAGGAAAGACAAACUUCUAUGCUUUCUGUGGAUUAUCGGCAGAUACAACAACGAUUACAGAAACUAGAGGGUGAGCACAGGCAAGAGAUGGAAAAAGUAAAAGUGCUACAGGGUCAGGUUGAACAAGAACAGCAAAAAAGAAACGUUCUGCAGACUGACUUGGCUCAGCAAUCAUCCGAAGCAGGACGUUUACGUGCUAGGGAACAGCAAUUAGUCGGUGAAGUUGCUCAAUUAAGGGAAGCGAAACGACAAAUAGAAGAGGAAUUACAUCAUUUAAAAACUCAAAGAAAUGUAGAUCAAUUACAAACUAAAGAAUUACAAGAACAAUUAGAAGCAGAAGCUUACUUUUCGACACUUUAUAAAACACAAACUCAAGAACUUCGAGAGGAACUUGAUGAAAAAAUACGAUUACAGCAAGAAUUGGAGGAAGAACGUAGUUCUUUGGUACAUCAAUUACAGUUAUCUCUAGCAAGAGGAGAUAGUGAAGCUUUGGCAAGAUCAAUAGCUGAAGAAACUGUUGCAGAUCUCGAAAAAGAACGAACGAUGAAAGAAUUAGAAUAUAAAGAUGGAGUAACUAAACAUCAUCAAGAAUUAAAUGCAAAAGAACAAAUUAUAAAUCGGCUUAAAGAUAGUGAAAGUGAACUCAAGAAAAAUGUUGAUCAAUAUCUCAAAGAAAAAGAAGAUUUAAAUAAACGGUUUAAAGAAUUGCAAGAUCAACUUUCUAAGGCACAAUCUAAUGCAGAGGAAAUAGAAAAACUCAGCAGUAAAUUAAAAACUGAACAACUAUUGAAACAACAAGCAGUUAAUAAAUUAGCAGAGAUUAUGAAUAGAAAAGAUUUAUCUUCAAGCGGUAAAUCUAAGAAUAAAGCAUCUGCAGCAGAUUUAAGAAAGAAGGAAAAAGAUUGUAGGCGUUUGCAACAGGAGCUUACUCAGGAAAGAGAGAAAUAUGGACAAUUGGCAGCUAAAUGGCAAAAAGAUUUACAAGAUUUACAAGCUCAAUUGGUGGAAGAAAAUCAAGCAAAAUUGAGAUUGCAAAUGGAACUUGACUCAAAAGAUUCUGAAAUAGAAACCUUACAAAUGAAGAUUGCUUCACUCAAUUCAGAAACAGCUAGUGUUUCGUCUGUAGAAAACGACGGAGAGGAUUCUGUUUUAUCAGAACAUGGAACCAUGCGAUUAGAAGGUUGGUUAAAUGUGCCAAAUAAACAGAAUAUUAAAAGGCACGGAUGGAAGAAACAAUACGUUGUCGUCUCUUCAAAGAAAAUAAUAUUUUAUAAUAGCGAAAAUGAUAAAUUAAAUGCUGAUCCAGUAUUGAUAUUGGAUUUAAAUAAAGUCUUCCACGUUAGAUCUGUUACGCAAGGUGAUGUCAUCCGAGCCGAUGCCAAAGAUAUUCCGAGGAUUUUUCAAUUAUUAUAUGCUGGCGAAGGCGAAGCAAGACGUCCUGGUGAUGAAGGAAAUACACUGCCUGGAGUGGAAUUGCCACAACUUACUGACAAACCAGGCACGCAAUCAUUAAAAGGUCAUGAAUUUGUAUCAAUAUCGUAUCACAUGCCAACUACUUGUGAGGUAUGCUCAAAACAACUAUGGCAUAUGUUUCGACCACCGCCAGCUCUCGAGUGUCGACGAUGUCGUAUAAAAGUACAUAAGGAGCAUUUGGACAAAAAGGAGGAUGCCAUAGCACCGUGUAAAUUACAUUAUGAUCCAAAUAGCGCUCGCGAACUAUUAAUUUUGGCUGGUAGUCCUGAUGAACAAAAAUAUUGGGUCGCAAGACUGUCUAGACGUGUACAAAAAUGUGGCUACAAGGCGAACUCGCACGUCGAUGGUACGGGACAGCGUGUCUCGCCAAGGUAGCGUAGCCGUGCGACUCAACGUAACUGGAGACUAAGUAGCUCUCUUAUAUUGUGGCAUCGCAUGAUUGGGUGUAGCGAGAGAAUCUACGAGAUCCACCUUGAAGCCAUAUUUAUCAGUGCAACAACGAUCCGCAACUCUACCAGCAAAUGCCAGUAUGGGCAAGUGACCUUAGCUAGCAUCGAUAACACUCGAUUGGAAUUCGUUAUUUCGACACCUUUCCUAAUCGAUUAAUUUAAACAUAUAAAUUCGAUCAGUUGCUCAGAUAAAUGAUUUAUAAGAGGAUCUAAAUGUGUAAAAAUAAUUUUCGAAACUCUGCGUUAUCUGGAUAAUAUUUUGAGAAAUCUGGAGUUCAUGUGUCUUAAAAGCAUCCGAUCCGAAAUAUAUACAGAAUCAUGUGUUAUUAUCAACUUUUUAACGAGUACGAGGAUAUUCAACGAAAUUAUUCGUUGACACGUUUACUUGUAUUGAUCGUUAUUUGUAGGUACAUAUUUGUUAAACGAAUUAAAUGUGCCUUUAAUAUAAUCUGACGAUGAUGGAACUCAAAUAAUUGAAAAAAGAGUUGAAGAAGUAAGACUCAUUAGCAAAUGUCAUGUGAUGAAAAUUUCCAGGAAACGAGUUGAUUAUAUAAUGAUGAUAAUGGCAGAAGUAUGCAGCUGUUAUUAACAAGACAAAAUGAUAAUAAUACUGUUUAUAUAUAAGAGCAGUGAUCGUAACAAAUUUAAGUACGUGAACCGCGUUUUUUUAGAUUUAUUAUACUAUGAGUAAACUCAUUAGUUAAUUUGUAUAGUCUCUCUAAGAGGCCAUCAUCAUAUGUUGUUUUAUAAAUAUUUUUUGUAUGAACGAAUAGAUCGAUUUUUUAUGAUGAUUUAUUUCUUUCGUAGAUGCUUACAAUUAAUGAUUUUCCUGUAUAUAAAUUACAAUUGUAAGAACUGCUUUUUCAUUUGAUCAAGCAGUUUGUUCGUUGACUUUAGCGAUCGUGAAAAAAAAGUGGAUAUAAUGACGAUUUCGCGAAGAGAAAUCGUUAUUUGUGCGAUAUACAUGUAUAAUUUAUUCCGUUCCUUUAUUUAAAAUGCGCGUUUUAAGAACUUGGUAAUAUUUUUGUGUAUUUACUGCGCCACAUCGAGAGUAUUAUUAUUUCAAUAUGUUUCGAGAUUAAAGAUAUUUAAUGACAAUUAUGUUAAGAAGAAAAGAAGAUUUGACUCGUUCAUAAAAAGACGCGUUGUAUCCAGUUGGUUAGAAUAGCUGACAAAGUUUUUUUUUAACAUGAAAAUGCAUCGAUAAAUAAUGUCGAUAGUAAAUAUGGAACACUGAAAAUUGAAAAUUUUUUUAUCACGAAAUUAUCAUAAGAGAUACAUCUUUCGAAUUUUGAAAUUCAUAAUAAUCUUAAAGUAUCUUAAAUUUUUAAAUCAUUAACACAAACAUAUUUUUAGGACCUUCGAACCUUCCAGAUUUUUCAAUUUUUGUUUUGUUUUCUUAUUUUUAUAUUUAUCAGUGAAAAAUUUGUAUUUUAAAUCAUUAAUUCAUAUUUUCGAAGACUUUCAAAACAUUAAAAAAUUAGGCGCUUUACAUAUUUCGUGAAUCUUUGUUAUCGCUGCCAUGUAUUAGUUAGAAUAUAUAUACAGAUUGUGAUUAA
RNAcentral lists this unclassified non-coding RNA (6268 nucleotides) under Apis florea (little honeybee). Its description in RNAcentral is "rho-associated protein kinase 1, transcript variant X2". The record is from RNAcentral. Lineage: Eukaryota; Metazoa; Arthropoda; Insecta; Hymenoptera; Apidae.